UUAAAUUGAAGAGUUUGAUCAUGGCUCAGAUUGAACGCUGGCGGCAGGCCUAACACAUGCAAGUCGAACGGUAACAGGAAGAAGCUUGCUGCUUUGCUGAAGAGUGGCGGACGGGUGAGUAAUGUCAGGGAAACUGCCUGAUGGAGGGGGAUAACUACUGGAAACGGUAGCUAAUACCGCAUAACGUCGCAAGACCAAAGAGGGGGACCUUCGGGCCUCUUGCCAUCGGAUGUGCCCAGAUGGGAUUAGCU
Molecule: ribosomal RNA, 251 nt
Filed under: Escherichia coli O121:H7 str. 2009C-3299
Lineage: Bacteria; Pseudomonadati; Pseudomonadota; Gammaproteobacteria; Enterobacterales; Enterobacteriaceae
Description: partial 16S ribosomal RNA
Rfam family: Bacterial small subunit ribosomal RNA
Source: RNAcentral